RNAcentral lists this small RNA (305 nucleotides) under Listeria monocytogenes. RNAcentral describes it as "Listeria sRNA rliB". It matches the Rfam family "Listeria sRNA rliB", at positions 19 to 312 of the family's 360-position model. Lineage: Bacteria; Bacillati; Bacillota; Bacilli; Caryophanales; Listeriaceae. The record is from RNAcentral.
UAUCACUUUGUUUUAACUACUUAUUAUGAAAUGUAAAUCCUCCACAAUCACUCGGCUUUCUUCGUCUUUAUCGACGUUUUAACUACUUAUUAUGAAAUGUAAAUAUUUAACAAAUCAGCUAAAUCAGCGCGACUCUGAUAGUUUUAACUACUUAUUAUGAAAUGUAAAUGUCGCUAGAGCUAAAAAAUGGAUAGAGGAACAACAAGGUUUUAACUACUUAUUAUGAAAUGUAAAUUCAACUAAUAUUAAUAUCUCUUGUGGAUUGGCCAUUGUUUUAACUACUUAUUAUGAAAUGUAAAUACUUG